Molecule: non-coding RNA, 72 nt
Organism: Ovis aries (sheep)
Lineage: Eukaryota; Metazoa; Chordata; Mammalia; Artiodactyla; Bovidae
Source: Rfam
UCCCUGGUGGCUCAGAGGUUAAAGCAUCUGCCUCCAAUGCAGGAGACCUGGGUUUGAUCCCUGGGUCUGGAA